GAUGAACGCUAGCGGCAGGCCUAAUACAUGCAAGUCGAACGGAUAUAUGUUUUUCGGAAUAUAUAUUAGUGGCGCACGGGUGAGUAACACGUACAUAACUUGCCCUCAAGCGGGGGAUAGCCUUGGGAAACUGAGAGUAAUACCCCAUAGAAUUAUUGGACGGCAUCGUUUGAUAAUUAAAACUACGGUGCUUGGGGAUAGAUGUGCGUCUGAUUAGCUAGUUGGUGAGGUAACUGCUCACCAAGGCGACGAUCAGUAGGGGGCGUGAGAGCGUGGCCCCCCACACGGGUACUGAGACACGGACCCGACCCCUACGGGAGGCAGCAGUAAGGAAUAUUGGUCAAUGGAGGGAACUCUGAACCAGCCAUGCCGCGUGAAGGAUGACGGCCCUCUGGGUUGUAAACUUCUUUUGGAUGGGGCGAAAAAACGGGAUUUAUCCUGGACUGACGGUACCAUCAGAAUAAGCACCGGCUAACUCCGUG
This 482-nucleotide ribosomal RNA is filed under the name uncultured bacterium. RNAcentral describes it as "bacterial SSU rRNA". It matches the Rfam family "Bacterial small subunit ribosomal RNA", at positions 28 to 507 of the family's 1533-position model. The record is from RNAcentral.